ACGAACGCUGGCGGCGUGCCUAAUACAUGCAAGUUGAGCGCUGAAGGUUGGUACUUGUACCAACUGGAUGAGCAGCGAACGGGUGAGUAACGCGUGGGGAAUCUGCCUUUGAGCGGGGGACAACAUUUGGAAACGAAUGCUAAUACCGCAUAAAAACUUUAAACACAAGUUUUAAGUUUGAAAGAUGCAAUUGCAUCACUCAAAGACGAUCCCGCGUUGUAUUAGCUAGUUGGUGAGGUAAAGGCUCACCAAGGCGAUGAUACAUAGCCGACCUGAGAGGGUGAUCGGCCACAUUGGGACUGAGACACGGCCCAAACUCCUACGGGAGGCAGCAGUAGGGAAUCUUCGGCAAUGGACGAAAGUCUGACCGAGCAACGCCGCGUGAGUGAAGAAGGUUUUCGGAUCGUAAAACUCUGUUGGUAGAGAAGAACGUUGGUGAGAGUGGAAAGCUCAUCAAGUGACGGUAACUACCCAGAAAGGGACGGCUAACUACGUG
Molecule: ribosomal RNA, 496 nt
Filed under: uncultured bacterium
Lineage: Bacteria
Description: partial 16S ribosomal RNA
Rfam family: Bacterial small subunit ribosomal RNA
Source: RNAcentral